GACGAACGCUGGCGGCGUGCUUAACACAUGCAAGUCGAGCGGAGCGGCGAACGGGUGAGUAACGCGUGAGUAACUGCCCCCCUCCCUGGGAUAACAGUUGGAAACGGCUGCUAAUACCGGAUAGUGGGGGAUGACUCGCGUCCUAUCAGAUUGUUGGUGGGGUAGUGGCCUACCAAGGCGACGACGGGUAGCCGGCCUGGGAGGUCGACCGGCCACAUUGCGCUGAGAGACGUCCCAAACUCCUACGGGAGGCAGCAGGUGGGAGUAUUGCACAAUGGGGGAAACCCUGAUACAGCAACGCCGCGGGCGUAAUGACGGCCUUCGGGUUGUAAACCGCGUUCAGCCAUGACGCGGUAGUGGCAGAAGAAGCACCGGCUAACUACGUGCCAGCAGCCGCGGUAAUUC
Molecule: ribosomal RNA, 405 nt
Filed under: uncultured bacterium
Lineage: Bacteria
Description: partial 16S ribosomal RNA
Rfam family: Bacterial small subunit ribosomal RNA
Source: RNAcentral